Molecule: long non-coding RNA, 361 nt
Organism: Nerophis ophidion (straightnose pipefish)
Lineage: Eukaryota; Metazoa; Chordata; Actinopteri; Syngnathiformes; Syngnathidae
Exons: 3
Source: RefSeq, a predicted model, not a curated record
CCUGACUUUGAGUGUUUGGUGAGCAGAGUUGAUAGCUGCUGGGUCGGUGUUCAUUUUGGUUUUAUGACAUUUAUUAGAUGUUUUCAACUACUCCAUUUUAAUAAUACAGAACAUACCACUUUUAUAGUGUGAACCAGAAACCCAACACCCUGGUAGAAGUGUGGAGUUUAGUGCACAUACACUGCCUGCCUGAUAUUGUGUGUGUUUGAGCUUCAAAGCUCUGGUUGUAGCCCUGAAGUGCUCUGUGUGAUUGGUGACCAGUAGUAGCCGUUUCAGGACCGCCCAGAGGCUAGAGAAUCUCACACAACUUGAAAAUCUUCGCAGAAUGACAACCCUUUUCUUUACUGGACCAAAUUGAUCA